CACAUCCCACAAGACCCUGACAGAGAUGGUUGUGGUCUUCUUCGGGAAAUGUGACCCAGGUGCUGCAUGACUGUCGUCAGCCUUGUUUUGUGAAAUGAUUGGUUUAAGUCCCGCAAGGAGCGAAACCCUUAUCUUUUGUUGCCAGCGGUACGGCCGGGAACUCAAAGGAGACUGCCCAGUGAUAAACUGGAGGAAGGUGGGGAUGACGUCAAGUCAUCAUGGCCCUUACGACCAGGGCUACACACGUGCUACAAUGGCCGCAUACAGAGAGAAGCGACCUCGCGAGAGCAAGCGGACCUCAUAAAGUGCG
Molecule: ribosomal RNA, 310 nt
Filed under: Enterobacter cloacae
Lineage: Bacteria; Pseudomonadati; Pseudomonadota; Gammaproteobacteria; Enterobacterales; Enterobacteriaceae
Description: bacterial SSU rRNA
Rfam family: Bacterial small subunit ribosomal RNA
Source: RNAcentral